Molecule: ribosomal RNA, 468 nt
Filed under: uncultured bacterium
Lineage: Bacteria
Description: partial 16S ribosomal RNA
Rfam family: Bacterial small subunit ribosomal RNA
Source: RNAcentral
GAUGAACGCUGGCUGCGUUCUUAACACAUGCAAGUCUAACGGUUAAGGCGGAGCUUGCUCUGCUGGAUCAGUGUCGAACGGUUUAGUAACACGUGAGCAAUCUGCCCCUUACUCUGGGCUAAGCGCUGGAAACGUCGUCUAAUACUGGAUACGAGCUGCGAAGGCAUCUUCAUCAGCUGGAAAGAAUUUCGGUCAGGGAUGAGCUCGCGUCCUAUCAGCUUGUUGUUGAGUUAAUGGCUCACCAAGGUGUCGACGGGUAGCCGUCCUGAGAGGGUGACCGGGCACACUGGGACUGAGACACGGCAAAAACUCCUACGGGAGGCAGCAGUGGGGAAAAUUGAACAAUGGGCGAAAGCAUGAUGGAGGAAGGCAGCGUGAGGAACGACGGACGUCGGGUUGAAAACCUCUUUGAGAAGGGAAGAAGCGAAAGUGACGGUACCUGCAGAAAAAGCGCAGGCUAAAUACGUG